Molecule: ribosomal RNA, 429 nt
Filed under: Bacteroidota bacterium
Lineage: Bacteria; Pseudomonadati; Bacteroidota
Description: Bacteroidetes bacterium partial 16S ribosomal RNA
Rfam family: Bacterial small subunit ribosomal RNA
Source: RNAcentral
UAGGGAAUCUUCCGCAAUGGACGCAAGUCUGACGGAGCAACGCCGCGUGAGUGAAGAAGGAUUUCGGUUCGUAAAACUCUGUUGUUAGAGAAGAACAGCGCAUAGAGUAACUGUUAUGCGUGUGACGGUAUCUAACCAGAAAGCCACGGCUAACUACGUGCCAGCAGCCGCGGUAAUACGUAGGUGGCAAGCGUUGUCCGGAUUUAUUGGGCGUAAAGCGAGCGCAGGCGGUCAAUUAAGUCUGAUGUGAAAGCCCCCGGCUCAACCGGGGAGGGUCAUUGGAAACAGGUUGAGUUGAGUGCAGAAGAGGAGAGUGGAAUUCCAUGUGUAGCGGUAAAAUGCGUAGAUAUAUGGAGAAACACCAGUGGCGAAGACGACUCUCAGGUUUGUAACUAACACUGAGGUUCGAAAGCGUGGGUAGCAAACAGG